CCUACGGGUGACAGCAGUGCGGAAUAUUGGUCAAUGGUCGGGAGCCUGAACCAGCCAAGCCGCGUGAGGGAGGAAGGUACAGAGUAUCGUAAACCUCUUUUGUCAGGGAACAAAGACUGGGACGCGUCCCCGGAUGACUGUACCUCAAGAAAAAGCAUAGGCUAAAUCCGUGCCAGCAGCCGCGGUAAUACGUAGUGGGCAAGCGUUAUCCGGAUUUACUGGGUGUAAUGGGAGCGUAGACGGUUAUGUAAGUCUGGAGUGAAAGCCCGGGGCCCAACCCCGGGACUGCUUUGGAAACGGUGUAACUGGAGUACAGGAGGGGCAGGCGGAAUUCCUGGUGUAGCGGUGAAAUGCGUAGAUAUCAGGAGGAACACCGGCGGCGAAGGCGGCCUGCUGGACUGAAACUGACGUUGAGGCUCGAAAGCGUGGGGAGCAAACAGGAUUAGAUACCCGGGUAGUC
Molecule: ribosomal RNA, 460 nt
Filed under: uncultured bacterium
Lineage: Bacteria
Description: partial 16S ribosomal RNA
Rfam family: Bacterial small subunit ribosomal RNA
Source: RNAcentral